This 465-nucleotide ribosomal RNA is filed under the name uncultured bacterium. Its description in RNAcentral is "partial 16S ribosomal RNA". It matches the Rfam family "Bacterial small subunit ribosomal RNA", at positions 28 to 507 of the family's 1533-position model. The record is from RNAcentral.
GACGAACGCUGGCGGCGUGCUUAACACAUGCAAGUCGAACGGAAAGGCCCUGCUUGCAGGGUACUCGAGUGGCGAACGGGUGAGUAACACGUGGGUGAUCUGCCCUGCACUUCGGGAUAAGCCUGGGAAACUGGGUCUAAUACCGGAUAGGAGCCAUUUUUAGUGUGAUGGUUGGAAAGUUUUUUCGGUGUAGGAUGAGCUCGCGGCCUAUCAGCUUGUUGGUGGGGUAAUGGCCUACCAAGGCGGCGACGGGUAGCCGGCCUGAGAGGGUGGACGGCCACAUUGGGACUGAGAUACGGCACAGACGCCUACGGGAGGCAGCAGUGGGGAAUAUUGCACAAUGGGCGCAAGCCUGAUGCAGCGACGCCGCGUGGGGGAUGACGGCCUUAGGGUUGUAAACUCCUUUCGAUUGGGACGAAGCUUUUUGUGACGGUACCUAGAGAAGAAGCACCGGCUAACUACGUG